UACGGAGGAUGCGAGCGUUAUCCGGAUUUAUUGGGUUUAAAGGGUGCGUAGGCGGCCUGCCAAGUCAGCGGUAAAAUUGCGGGGCUCAACCCCGUACAGCCGUUGAAACUGCCGGGCGCGAGUGGGCGAGAAGUAUGCGGAAUGCGUGGUGUAGCGGUGAAAUGCAUAGAUAUCACGCAGAACCCCGAUUGCGAAGGCAGCAUACCGGCGCCCUACUGACGCUGAGGCACGAAAGUGCGGGGAUCAAACAGG
This 252-nucleotide ribosomal RNA is filed under the name uncultured bacterium. Its description in RNAcentral is "partial 16S ribosomal RNA". It matches the Rfam family "Bacterial small subunit ribosomal RNA", at positions 524 to 776 of the family's 1533-position model. The record is from RNAcentral.